AUACUUACCUGGCAGGGUGCUACUGUGAUCACAGAGGCAGAUUUCCCAGGGCCAGGUUUAUCCAUUGCACUCAGGAUGCGCUGACCCCUGCGAAUUCCCCAAGUGUGGGAAAGUGCACUGCAUAGUCUGUGACAAGAGGGGCUGAGUUCACACUUUCCUGG
RNAcentral lists this small nuclear RNA (161 nucleotides) under Dasypus novemcinctus (nine-banded armadillo). RNAcentral's name for it is "U1 spliceosomal RNA (ENSDNOG00000044510.1)". It matches the Rfam family "U1 spliceosomal RNA". Rfam says of the family: U1 is a small nuclear RNA (snRNA) component of the spliceosome (involved in pre-mRNA splicing). Its 5' end forms complementary base pairs with the 5' splice junction, thus defining the 5' donor site of an intron. Lineage: Eukaryota; Metazoa; Chordata; Mammalia; Cingulata; Dasypodidae. The record is from RNAcentral.